RNAcentral lists this transfer RNA (66 nucleotides) under Habropoda radoszkowskii. Its description in RNAcentral is "tRNA-Tyr". It matches the Rfam family "tRNA". From Rfam's summary of the family: Transfer RNA (tRNA) molecules are approximately 80 nucleotides in length. Their secondary structure includes four short double-helical elements and three loops (D, anti-codon, and T loops). Further hydrogen bonds mediate the characteristic L-shaped molecular structure. tRNAs have two regions of fundamental functional importance: the anti-codon, which is responsible for specific mRNA codon recognition, and the 3' end, to which the tRNAs corresponding amino acid is attached (by aminoacyl-tRNA synthetases). tRNAs cope with the degeneracy of the genetic code in two manners: having more than one tRNA (with a specific anti-codon) for a particular amino acid; and 'wobble' base-pairing, i.e. permitting non-standard base-pairing at the 3rd anti-codon position. Lineage: Eukaryota; Metazoa; Arthropoda; Insecta; Hymenoptera; Apidae. The record is from RNAcentral.
AGUAUUAUGUCUGAAAAAGAAAUAAACUGUAAAUUUAUUAAUAAAGAUAAAAUUCUUUUAAUACUA